This 308-nucleotide ribosomal RNA is filed under the name Escherichia coli. RNAcentral describes it as "partial 23S ribosomal RNA". It matches the Rfam family "Bacterial large subunit ribosomal RNA", at positions 1 to 327 of the family's 2925-position model. Lineage: Bacteria; Pseudomonadati; Pseudomonadota; Gammaproteobacteria; Enterobacterales; Enterobacteriaceae. The record is from RNAcentral.
GUUGUAUAGUCAAGUAAUGAAGUGCACAUGGUGGAUGCCUUGGCAGUCAGAGGCGAUGAAAGACGUGACAGCCUGCGAAAAGCGUCGGGGAGGCGGCAAUAUCCUGUGAUCCGGCGAUAUCUGAAUGGGGAAACCCACUUGUCAUAAGACAGGUAUCGUAAAUUUAUUUACGAGGCAAACCGGGAGAAGUGAAACAUCUCAGUAACCCGAGGAAAAGACAUCAAUAGAGAUUCCCCUAGUAGCGGCGAGCGAACGGGGAGGAGCCGACUGAUUAUAAUUUAGAGGAAUGACUUGGAAAGGUCAAUCGU